RNAcentral lists this ribosomal RNA (480 nucleotides) under uncultured bacterium. RNAcentral's name for it is "partial 16S ribosomal RNA". It matches the Rfam family "Bacterial small subunit ribosomal RNA", at positions 28 to 523 of the family's 1533-position model. The record is from RNAcentral.
GAUGAGCGCUGGCGGCGUGCUUAACACAUGCAAGUCGAGCGAUGAAGUUUCCUUCGGGAAACGGAUUAGCGGCGGACGGGUGAGUAACACGUGGGUAACCUGCCUCAUAGAGUGGAAUAGCCUUCCGAAAGGAAGAUUAAUACCGCAUAACGUUGAAAGAUGGCAUCAUCAUUCAACCAAAGGAGCAAUCCGCUAUGAGAUGGACCCGCGGCGCAUUAGCUAGUUGGUGGGGUAACGGCCUACCAAGGCGACGAUGCGUAGCCGACCUGAGAGGGUGAUCGGCCACAUUGGGACUGAGACACGGCCCAGACUCCUACGGGAGGCAGCAGUGGGGAAUAUUGCACAAUGGGGGAAACCCUGAUGCAGCAACGCCGCGUGAGUGAUGAAGGUUUUCGGAUCGUUAAGCUCUGUCUUUGGGGAAGAUAAUGACGGUACUCAAGGAGGAAGCCACGGCUAACUACGUGCCAGCCGCCGCCGUAA